This 253-nucleotide ribosomal RNA is filed under the name uncultured bacterium. RNAcentral describes it as "partial 16S ribosomal RNA". It matches the Rfam family "Bacterial small subunit ribosomal RNA", at positions 524 to 776 of the family's 1533-position model. The record is from RNAcentral.
UACGUAGGGUGCAAGCGUUAAUCGGAAUUACUGGGCGUAAAGCGUGCGUAGGCGGCUAUGUAAGACAGAUGUGAAAUCCCUGGGCUUAACCUAGGAACUGCAUUUGUGACUGCAUUGCUAGAGUGUGGUAGAGGGAGAUGGAAUUCCGCGUGUAGCAGUGAAAUGCGUAGAUAUGCGGAGGAACACCAAUGGCGAAGGCAGCUCGCUGGGACGGUAUUGACGCUGAGACGCGAAAGCGUGGGGAGCAAACAGG